GACGAACGCUGGCGGCGUGCUUAACACAUGCAAGUCGAACGGAAAGGCCCUGCUUUUGUGGGGUGCUCGAGUGGCGAACGGGUGAGUAACACGUGAGUAACCUGCCCUUUACUUUGGGAUAACUUCAGGAAACUGGGGCUAAUACCGGAUAGGAGCUCCUGCUGCAUGGUGGUGGUUGGAAAGUUUCGGCGGUUGGGGAUGGACUCGCGGCUUAUCAGCUUGUUGUUGGGGUAGUGGCUUACCAAGGCUUUGACGGGUAGCCGGCCUGAGAGGGUGACCGGCCACAUUGGGACUGAGAUACGGCCCGGACUCCUACGGGAGGCAGCAGUGGGGAAGAUUGAAGAAUGGGCGGAAGCCUGAUGCAGCAACGCCGCGUGCGGGAUGACGGCCUUCCGGUUGUAAACCGCUUUAGCCUGUGACGAAGCGUGAGUGACGGUAAUGGGUAAAGAAGCACCGGCUAACUACGUG
Molecule: ribosomal RNA, 468 nt
Filed under: uncultured bacterium
Lineage: Bacteria
Description: partial 16S ribosomal RNA
Rfam family: Bacterial small subunit ribosomal RNA
Source: RNAcentral